GUCCACGCCCUAAACGAUGUCUACUGGUUGUUGGGGUUUAUUAACCUUGGUAACGAAGCUAACGCGUGAAGUAGACCGCCUGGGGAGUACGGUCGCAAGAUUAAAAACUCAAAGGAAUUGACGGGGACCCGCACAAGCGGUGGAUGAUGUGGAUUAAUUCGAUGCAACGCGAAAAACCUUACCUAGCCUUGACAUGCCAGGAAUCCUGAAGAGAUUCGGGAGUGCUCGCAAGGGAAUCUGGACACAGGUGCUGCAUGGCUGUCGU
RNAcentral lists this ribosomal RNA (265 nucleotides) under uncultured bacterium. Its description in RNAcentral is "partial 16S ribosomal RNA". It matches the Rfam family "Bacterial small subunit ribosomal RNA", at positions 793 to 1055 of the family's 1533-position model. The record is from RNAcentral.